Gadus macrocephalus (Pacific cod) is the source of this 273-nucleotide long non-coding RNA. RefSeq lists it as uncharacterized. NCBI's taxonomy places the organism in Eukaryota, Metazoa, Chordata, Actinopteri, Gadiformes, Gadidae. The record is from RefSeq and is a predicted model, not a curated record. The transcript is spliced from 2 exons.
CUUAAACUGAAGACUAGAGGAGUUCUUCAAGUCGUCAGUGAAGAUGACUCCUUCUGUGAUCGUCAAGCGACCCUCCAACGGCGAUCUAUCUGAAGACCACCAGGGAGAAACCUUCCUCGUCAUCAUUCUAUUCACCAGGCUGAGCCAGGACACCGCCAGGAGUCCAACACACAGGAGGAGGAGAAGAAAACACAAGACGAACAGGAGAACCUCUGACCCCGAUCUCCUCCUCAUGGUGCUGCCCUAAACCCAGGACCGAGCGUCACCAGCUAA